UCUCCUGGAAACGGGUGGUAAUGCCGGAUGUUCCACAUGAUCGCAUGUGAUUGUGGGAAAGAUUCUAUCGGCGUGGGAUGGGGUCGCGUCCUAUCAGCUUGUUGGUGAGGUAACGGCUCACCAAGGCUUCGACGGGUAGCCGGCCUGAGAGGGCGACCGGCCACAUUGGGACUGAGAUACGGCCCAGACUCCUACGGGAGGCAGCAGUGGGGAAUAUUGCACAAUGGGCGCAAGCCUGAUGCAGCGACGCCGCGUGAGGGAUGGAGGCCUUCGGGUUGUAAACCUCUUUUGUUUGGGAGCAAGCCUUCGGGUGAGUGUACCUUUCGAAUAAGCGCCGGCUAACUACGUGCCAGCAGCCGCGGUAAUACGUAGGGCGCAAGCGUUAUCCGGAUUUAUUGGGCGUAAAGGGCUCGUAGGCGGCUCGUCGCGUCCGGUGUGAAAGUCCAUCGCUUAACGGUGGAUCUGCGCCGGGUACGGGCGGGCUGGAGUGCGGUAGGGGAGACUGGAAUUCCCGGUGUAACGGUGGAAUGUGUAGAUAUCGGAAAGAACACCA
RNAcentral lists this ribosomal RNA (553 nucleotides) under Bifidobacterium bifidum. RNAcentral describes it as "bacterial SSU rRNA". It matches the Rfam family "Bacterial small subunit ribosomal RNA", at positions 146 to 711 of the family's 1533-position model. Lineage: Bacteria; Bacillati; Actinomycetota; Actinomycetes; Bifidobacteriales; Bifidobacteriaceae. The record is from RNAcentral.